Molecule: ribosomal RNA, 624 nt
Filed under: Triticum aestivum (bread wheat)
Lineage: Eukaryota; Viridiplantae; Streptophyta; Magnoliopsida; Poales; Poaceae
Description: partial small subunit ribosomal RNA
Source: RNAcentral
AUGCCCUACAUACCAGCAGACGUCAAAAACCUAAAGGCAAAGUACCGUAGAGAGAGCAGGUUGGCUGACAUAGAAGACACAAUAGCCUACUUCGAAGAGAAAGCAAAAGCAGAUAAUGAUUUCUUCUACAGAAUAAGAUUGGAUGAUGAGGACCGUGUCAGAAACAUGUAUUGGGUGGAUGGUGCUGCAAGAAGAGCCUGUAAACAUUUCUGUGAUUUCAUUUCGUUUGACACGACAUAUCUCACGAAUAUGUACAAGAUGCCCCGUGCUCCAUUCAUAGGAAUAAAUAACCACAAUCACUCCUUGCAGUUCGGUUGCGGUCUUGUUCGGAACAAGGAUACCGAGGGUUACACUUGGCUGUUCGAAACCUUCUUGGAGUGCAUGGAUGUACUUGCUCCGAUGAACAUAAUAACAGACCAAGAUUUUAGCAUGCGUGCAGGCAUAGAGGAGGUCUUUCCGUUGGCAGUGCACAUGCACUACAUGUGGCAUAUUAUUAAGAAGGCUUAAGAGAUGCUAGGACCAUUCUUCGCUGACCGUCCAAAGCUACACAAGGCACUCAAGUUGUGUGUGGACCACACCUUGACGGUGGAGGAGUUUGAACGGAGCUCGACGGCUAUGAUUUGA